UAGGGAAUCUUCCGCAAUGGGCGAAAGCCUGACGGAGCAACGCCGCGUGAGUGAUGAAGGUCUUCGGAUCGUAAAACUCUGUUAUUAGGGAAGAACAUAUGUGUAAGUAACUGUGCACAUCUUGACGGUACCUAAUCAGAAAGCCACGGCUAACUACGUGCCAGCAGCCGCGGUAAUACGUAGGUGGCAAGCGUUAUCCGGAAUUAUUGGGCGUAAAGCGCGCGUAGGCGGUUUUUUAAGUCUGAUGUGAAAGCCCACGGCUCAACCGUGGAGGGUCAUUGGAAACUGGAAAACUUGAGUGCAGAAGAGGAAAGUGGAAUUCCAUGUGUAGCGGUGAAAUGCGCAGAGAUAUGGAGGAACACCAGUGGCGAAGGCGACUUUCUGGUCUGUAACUGACGCUGAUGUGCGAAAGCGUGGGGAUCAAACAGGAUUAGAUACCCUGGUAGUCCACGCCGUAAACGAUGAGUGCUAAGUGUUAGGGGGUUUCCGCCCCUUAGUGCUGCAGCUAACGCAUUAAGCACUCCGCCUGAGGAGUACGACCGCAAGGUUGA
RNAcentral lists this ribosomal RNA (551 nucleotides) under uncultured bacterium. RNAcentral's name for it is "bacterial SSU rRNA". It matches the Rfam family "Bacterial small subunit ribosomal RNA", at positions 355 to 897 of the family's 1533-position model. The record is from RNAcentral.